CGCUCGUAGUCGGAUUUCGGGGCGGGCCGACCGGUCUGCCGAUGGGUAUGCACUGGCCGGCGCGUCCUUCCACCCGGAGACCGCGCCUACUCUUAACUGAGCGGGCGCGGGAGACGGGUCUUUUACUUUGAAAAAAUCAGAGUGUUUCAAGCAGGCAGUCGCUCUUGCAUGGAUUAGCAUGGGAUAAUGAAAUAGGACUCUGGUGCUAUUUUGUUGGUUUCGAACACCGGAGUAAUGAUUAACAGGGACAGUCAGGGGCACUCGUAUUCCGCCGAGAGAGGUGAAAUUCUCAGACCAGCGGAAGACGAACCACUGCGAAAGCAUUUGCCAGGGAUGUUUUCACUGAUCAAGAACGAAAGUUAGGGGAUCGAAGACGAUCAGAUACCGUCGUAGUCUUAACCAUAAACCAUGCCGACUAGGGAUUGGAGGAUGUUCCAUUUGUGACUCCUUCAGCACCUUUCGGGAAACUAAAGUCUUUGGGUUCCGGGGGGAGUAUGGUCGCAAGGCUGAAACUUAAAGGAAUUGACGGAAGGGCACCACCAGGAGUGGAGCCUGCGGCUU
This 561-nucleotide ribosomal RNA is filed under the name Emiliania huxleyi. RNAcentral's name for it is "SSU rRNA". It matches the Rfam family "Eukaryotic small subunit ribosomal RNA", at positions 625 to 1191 of the family's 1831-position model. Lineage: Eukaryota; Haptophyta; Isochrysidales; Noelaerhabdaceae. The record is from RNAcentral.